AACCUGCCCAAGAGACUGGGAUAACACCUGGAAACAGAUGCUAAUACCGGAUAACAACACUAGACGCAUGUCUAGAGUUUAAAAGAUGGUUCUGCUAUCACUCUUGGAUGGACCUGCGGUGCAUUAGCUAGUUGGUAAGGCAACGGCUUACCAAGGCAAUGAUGCAUAGCCGAGUUGAGAGACUGAUCGGCCACAUUGGGACUGAGACACGGCCCAAACUCCUACGGGAGGCAGCAGAG
RNAcentral lists this ribosomal RNA (239 nucleotides) under uncultured bacterium. RNAcentral describes it as "partial 16S ribosomal RNA". It matches the Rfam family "Bacterial small subunit ribosomal RNA", at positions 123 to 354 of the family's 1533-position model. The record is from RNAcentral.